UCUACAUUGAAUGUACAUUUCUGAGGUCUAUAUCACCACAGCAGGUCGAUGUAUUUGAUGGAAUAAUUUUGAUUGCAAUGACUAUCUUGCAGAUGCUGAAAGUGACGUGACAAGACAUUGUCUUCAAUUAAGUGGUCCUUCAGUGCCACUGCUUUGGUUGACACCAUAAGGGAUUCGGUCGUCCUUGCCCGGACCAACUGCUCCACUUUACUGAUGAUAUUGAAGGCCUCCUGCAAUGGACAGUAAAGGGACCAAGGAUGCAGAGGACAAGACGGAUGUGUAGUAUUGACUGAAAUUAUCAGAGAAGGUCAUUUUUUAUGGUUUAGGUCCAAACGAAGGGACCCUUCCAACCUCAGCAUCUCCAACACCUCCUGUCACACC
Sardina pilchardus (European sardine) is the source of this 381-nucleotide long non-coding RNA. RefSeq lists it as uncharacterized. The transcript has 3 exons. NCBI's taxonomy places the organism in Eukaryota, Metazoa, Chordata, Actinopteri, Clupeiformes, Clupeidae. The record is from RefSeq and is a predicted model, not a curated record.